This 721-nucleotide ribosomal RNA is filed under the name Desulforamulus profundi. Its description in RNAcentral is "Bacterial small subunit ribosomal RNA". It matches the Rfam family "Bacterial small subunit ribosomal RNA", at positions 1 to 655 of the family's 1533-position model. Lineage: Bacteria; Bacillati; Bacillota; Clostridia; Eubacteriales; Peptococcaceae. The record is from Rfam by way of RNAcentral.
UUUAUGGAGAGUUUGAUCCUGGCUCAGGACGAACGCUGGCGGCGUGCUUAACACAUGCAAGUCGAACGGUUCAGUCGUCGGUCUUCAGACGUCGGACGUCGGGAUAGUAAGGAAUUCGCMUUAGCGAAKUCSAGAYUKARAUCCCUGACGAMKGCMGCYUGACGAYCKACGAMCKAAUAGUGGCGCACGGGUGAGUAACGCGUGGAUAACCUGCCUGGUAGACCGGGAUAACAGCUGGAAACGGCUGCUAAUACCGGAUACGCUUAAGGGAACGCAUGUUCUUUUAAGGAAAGCAAUCGUGCUAUCAGAUGGAUCCGCGUCCCAUUAGCUAGUUGGUGGUGUAAGGGACCACCAAGGCGACGAUGGGUAGCCGGCCUGAGAGGGCGACCGGCCACACUGGGACUGAGACACGGCCCAGACUCCUACGGGAGGCAGCAGUGGGGAAUCUUCCGCAAUGGGCGAAAGCCUGACGGAGCAACGCCGCGUGAGGGAAGAAGGCCUUCGGGUUGUAAACCUCUGUCAUCAAGGAAGAACAGAUGACGGUACUUGGAGAGGAAGCCCCGGCUAACUACGUGCCAGCAGCCGCGGUAAAACGUAGGGGGCGAGCGUUGUCCGGAAUUACUGGGCGUAAAGGGCGCGUAGGUGUCCAUUAAGUUAGAGGUGAAAGAUCGGGCUCAACCCCGAGAUUGCCUCUGAUACUGGUGGACUUGAGUGCAGGAGA